UACGUAGGGUGCAAGCGUUAAUCGGAAUUACUGGGCGUAAAGCGUGCGCAGGCGGUUAUGCAAGACAGAUGUGAAAUCCCCGGGCUCAACCUGGGAACCGCAUUUGUGACUGCAUAGCUGGAGUGCGGCAGAGGGGGAUGGAAUUCCGCGUGUAGCAGUGAAAUGCGUAGAUAUGCGGAGGAACACCGAUGGCGAAGGCAAUCCCCUGGGCCUGCACUGACGCUCAUGCACGAAAGCGUGGGGAGCAAACAGG
RNAcentral lists this ribosomal RNA (253 nucleotides) under uncultured bacterium. RNAcentral describes it as "partial 16S ribosomal RNA". It matches the Rfam family "Bacterial small subunit ribosomal RNA", at positions 524 to 776 of the family's 1533-position model. The record is from RNAcentral.